Non-coding RNA from Erinaceus europaeus (western European hedgehog), 325 nucleotides. The record is from Rfam. Lineage: Eukaryota; Metazoa; Chordata; Mammalia; Eulipotyphla; Erinaceidae.
GGAUGUGAGGAUGAUCUGGCUGUGACAGAUCUGUCACCCCAUUGAUUGCCAGGGUUCAUUCGGCUGAUCUGGCUGGCUAGGUGAGCGUUCUCUUCCUCCCUCACUGCUCCAUGUGUGUCUCUUCCGAAGUUGUGCACUCAGUCAGGGAGGAUGGCCUUCCCCAAAUAGAGACUGACGCGUCCAGGGUAUACAAGUAGCUGCGCUACCCUGCUAGGACCUCCAAAAAAGCUCUCAUAAAAGCCCCACCCAUGAGUAAAGUCAUUCAGUAUUCCUCCUUUUUCUCCUUCUGGCUUAUCUCUCUUAAUUCCUCCAAGUUCCAUCCAAG